Sinocyclocheilus rhinocerous is the source of this 789-nucleotide long non-coding RNA. RefSeq lists it as uncharacterized. The record is from RefSeq and is a predicted model, not a curated record. Lineage: Eukaryota; Metazoa; Chordata; Actinopteri; Cypriniformes; Cyprinidae. The transcript has 2 exons.
UACCAAAGUUGCCUCAGUCCAAACAAGGGGUAUCAACGUUUAAUGCUUGGAAGAAAUACGGGAGGAAAAAAUACUAAAAUAUACACAGAAGGGCGGCUUUCAAAAAUAACUAGUAUAACACAAGUGAACAUAAUUGUCAGUUUGAGAUGAACGUACUGUAUAAAUGAGUGGACAAACAGUCGUACAGAGCUCUUUGACCUCCACAAAGUGCCACAUCUUUUUUUAGAUGCAGAUACCAGAGGCUAAUACACUCUGGGAAAGGGUUUGAAAGUAUACAUGGUGGGUCAGGUUGAUCGAUUCCUGUCUGUAUGAGUGUGGUCAGUUUAAGUAGCUCUUGAUUACUUUAAUUGUAGCCUUUGGUUGAAGGCAAAAAGCUUUGAUGUGAAUUGCACACAAUUGGAGAGAUCAUACACAGCGAGGUUUGGCUCGGCUAUCCUAUUACCUACACAUUUGAAAGUCCCCUGUGUCGAUUAUUUUAGACAUAUUAUGAGCAAGCCUGUUUCCUGUGUGUGUGUGUGUGUUGUGUGUGUGUGCAGAGGGAAGGAGACAGACAGAGAGAGAAAGACCUUCCAAAAUUUCCAGACCUUUUUCUUUACUUCCUGAUCAGAAAAUGAUGAUGACACGAUAAUGACUUGGACAACUAAAACAUCUUGUAUUUGUGCUCUAUUCUUCCCAUGCUAAAAAAACCUGAACUUUACAGGCCCCAGAAAUCAGGUAUUACACCUCAAAAAUCAAAGGACAGAAGGGGGCUUUGUUUAAAAAAAAAAGACACACUGCUGCCAGAACACA